This 277-nucleotide ribosomal RNA is filed under the name uncultured bacterium. RNAcentral describes it as "partial 16S ribosomal RNA". It matches the Rfam family "Bacterial small subunit ribosomal RNA", at positions 28 to 324 of the family's 1533-position model. The record is from RNAcentral.
GAUAAACGCUGGCGGCGUGCCUAACACAUGCAAGUCGAACGCCCUUGGCAACAAGGGAGUGGCGGACGGGUGAGUAACACGUGGGCAACCUGCCCUUCAGUGAGGAAUACCGGCGAGAAAUCGCCGACAAGACCGCAUACGCUUGGCAACAAGCAAAGCCUGCAAAGGCGCUGAAGGAGGGGCCUGCGGCUGAUUAGCUAGUUGGUGGGGUCAUAGCUCACCAAGGCGACGAUCAGUAGCUGGUCUGAGAGGACGAUCAGCCACACUGGGAUUGAGA